Osmerus eperlanus (European smelt) is the source of this 219-nucleotide long non-coding RNA. RefSeq lists it as uncharacterized. NCBI's taxonomy places the organism in Eukaryota, Metazoa, Chordata, Actinopteri, Osmeriformes, Osmeridae. The record is from RefSeq and is a predicted model, not a curated record. The transcript is spliced from 3 exons.
AGGACUUUGAGUUAAAGGAGCAACACCUCUCUGAUGCACAGACCUUUGAUACUCUGGUGCUGCAAAUUUCAAGAGUUGGUGGGCGGAACAUGGACUGUGUCCACAAAGUGUUGGACAGGCUCUUCAUCAACAGCCUCAUGGCCAAAUUUAAUUUGAAGGGCAAGGGGAAAAGGGGGAAACGCCCUUUAGAUGGAACAAAGCUUUAUAGAGCAAUACAAG